CGCAUAUUAUUUAUAUGCGUUUAUUAACACUUUAAUAUUUAUUACAGAGCCUUAUAAAACCUACACAUCUUAUUUGAUGAUGAGAUGAUCUUACAUUUCUAAACAUAUUACUUAUAUGUAGAACCUAUGUACCUACAUAUAAGUUAAAUUGUAUCUUAAAUUAUAAAAUCGUGAUAUUAGAAAACCACUGUGGUUUUUAUAAUGUAAUAGAAGUCAUGUGAUAGGAGCGUGACAAAUGUAUUUAAAGUCGUUUUUCAUUUUUUAUGUUGGUUAACGUUAGGCUAUUUGAUAAAUGACUGGGUAGUUUUAGACAUUUAAUAGUCGCAGUAGCAAAUAUCUUAACGUCCGCCGGUCCUUCCGCCUUUACAGAUCAGGAAUCCUCGAAAAUGCAUUUCGUAUUCAAGCAAAAACAAUGUGUGGGUAAUAUGAGUAAGAAAGUAAAUAAUUACUGUUGACGUAAUUACCAAACAAGAGUGCCCAGGGUGCUUACGUAAUGCUUGAAGCCCCUAAGUCUUUACAGCAGCUUGCCAUGCGAGAAACAAUAGCGGUGGCCACUUCGAAUACGCCUGCGAAGAUUUUUUAGUAGAUGGUAGAUGCAACAGCGUACGGCGUUGACGUGAUGUAUUG
Long non-coding RNA from Pieris rapae (cabbage white), 627 nucleotides. RefSeq lists it as uncharacterized. The record is from RefSeq and is a predicted model, not a curated record. The transcript is spliced from 3 exons. NCBI's taxonomy places the organism in Eukaryota, Metazoa, Arthropoda, Insecta, Lepidoptera, Pieridae.